UAUUAGGUUGGUGCAAAAGUAAUUGCAGUUUUUGCCAUUACUUUUAGUGUCAAAAACUGCAAUUACUUUUGCACCAACCU
Molecule: microRNA precursor, 80 nt
Filed under: Cebus imitator (Panamanian white-faced capuchin)
Lineage: Eukaryota; Metazoa; Chordata; Mammalia; Primates; Cebidae
Description: miRNA (ENSCCAG00000011159.1)
Source: RNAcentral